RNAcentral lists this ribosomal RNA (772 nucleotides) under uncultured marine bacterium. RNAcentral describes it as "bacterial SSU rRNA". It matches the Rfam family "Bacterial small subunit ribosomal RNA", at positions 14 to 794 of the family's 1533-position model. The record is from RNAcentral.
UGAUCCUGGCUCAGGACGAACGCUGGCGGUGCGCCUUAUGCAUGCAAGUUGAGCGAAGCUUUUCAGUAGUUUACUACAGAAAAUGACUGAGCGGCGAACGGGUGAGUAACGCGUGAGCAAUCUACCUUAGUUACUGGGAUAGCCCGAGGAAACUCGGAUUAAUACCGGAUAUUCUUAUUUUUUCACAUGAAGUUUUAAGGAAAGGUCAGCCGAACUAAGAUGAGCUCGCGUUCUAUCAGCUAGUUGGUGGGGUAAAAGCCUACCAAGGCAACGACGGAUAGCUGGUCUGAGAGGACGAUCAGCCACACUGGGACUGAGACACGGCCCAGACUCCUACGGGAGGCUGCAGCAGGGAAUAUUGUGCAAUGAGCGAAAGCUUGACACAGCGACACCGCGUGUGGGAUGACGGUUCUAGGAUUGCAAACCACUUUCAGGAGGGAAGAAAAUGACGGUACCUCCACAAGAAGACCCGGCCAACUAUGUGCCAGCAGCCGCGGUAAUACAUAGGGGUCAAGCGUUGUCCGGAUUUAUUGGGCGUAAAGAGCUCGUAGGCGGUUCAACAAGUCGGUCGUAAAAGUUUAGGGCUCAACCCUAAAAUGUCGAUCGAUACUGUUGUGACUAGGAUACGGUAGAGGUGAAUGGAAUUCCGAGUGUAGCGGUGAAAUGCGUAGAUAUUCGGAGGAACGCCAAUUGCGAAGGCAGUUCACUGGACCGUGAUCGACGCUGAGGAGCGAAAGCUAGGGGAGCAAACAGGAUUAGAUACCCUGGUAGU